UCCUGGUCUAGGGAGUAUGUUCUGGUUGAUGUGAGACUGUUAGGAUCAGGACAUGGUCUGGAAAGGUGAUUCCUAACAUUGAGAGAGAGUUGUGCCCUGGGGAUGCCAGUCCUGGGCUCACUGACGAUCAGAGUUGUGUUUGAGGAUGCAUUUCUAGUUUCAGAUCAUACUGGACCAGACCCUAGGAUUGCCUCUGAGAUGAAACUGUCUUGCCCUGAGCAGGAUAUCACAAGACCCGAGCAGGAAAACAAUCUACUCCUCAGUAUGCUGGGCCUGAGAUUGCUAUUCAUGAAGACUGUGGCCAUCAAUGUCAUAUUUACCACCAUGACCUUGAUCUUCUAAGAAAGAACCUUGAGGAAGAUCAUCUAAGAAGUCACUAUUUGGAUCCUGGAUACCUUUGGGGACCCCAGAAUGACCUCUGGAUUACCUCAAGAUAAAUCCAGAAUGACUCCAAGGACUCAUAAUUAACCUAGUUGCAUUCAAUCUCCUUUGAACCACAAACUCUUCAUUUCUAGGUCCAUGUCUUCCAUGAUAUAUUAUUUUUCAUCCCUUGUCCUAUAAUAAAGACAAGAAAGCCUUG
Molecule: non-coding RNA, 580 nt
Organism: Monodelphis domestica (gray short-tailed opossum)
Lineage: Eukaryota; Metazoa; Chordata; Mammalia; Didelphimorphia; Didelphidae
Source: RefSeq, a predicted model, not a curated record